Molecule: ribosomal RNA, 492 nt
Filed under: uncultured bacterium
Lineage: Bacteria
Description: partial 16S ribosomal RNA
Rfam family: Bacterial small subunit ribosomal RNA
Source: RNAcentral
AGUGAACGCUGGCGGUAGGCCUAACACAUGCAAGUCGAACGGCAGCACAGUAAGAGCUUGCUCUUACGGGUGGCGAGUGGCGGACGGGUGAGGAAUACAUCGGAAUCUACUUUUUCGUGGGUGAUAACGUAGGGACACUUACGCUAAUACCGCAUACGACCUACGGGUGAAAGCAUGGGAUCUUCCGACCUUGCGCGAUUGAAUGAGCCGAUGUCGGAUUAGCUAGUUGGCGGGGUAAAGGCCCACCAAGGCGACGAUCCGUAGCUGGUCUGAGAGGAUGAUCAGCCACACUGGAACUGAGACACGGUCCAGACUCCUACGGGAGGCAGCAGUGGGGAAUAUUGGACAAUGGGCGCAAGCCUGAUCCAGCCAUACCGCGUGGGUGAAGAAGGCCUUCGGGUUGUAAAGCCCUUUUGUUGGGAAAGAAAAGCAGCAGGUUAAUACCCCGCUGUUCUGACGGUACCCAAAGAAUAAGCACCGGCUAACUUCGUG